CAGGGAGAGGCCCCAUCUCUUUCAGCCGAAAACCUGUCGGCAAACCAUUACGUGUUAGUUGAAAACCAGUCCUAAACCAUAAUUGGUUGGGCUCCUCCUUUAAAAUGAAUCUUUAGGAAAGAACGAAAGAAGAGAAAAGAGCAACCAAAUAAAUGCAAAAUGACGCAGGUGUGUCGAACCUCAGUGCCGCCCGCUCGCACGCCAGGUAUCGAGAAGCAUGCCAAAGUAGUCUGACAUGUGCGUCAACAAAAGACCACCCAAUGUGAUGAGGGUGCAACUACUUUCAUUAGUAUCAACCAAAUACUGGAUCAAGAUUGUUUGCUUACAAAAGCUUCAAAGCCCACAUCAGCCAGAAACCUCUUGGCGUCUUCUGUCGGGUUCGAAAAGCACUACUUUGCCGGCCAUAGCAACGAAGUUGCAUAUAUCAGAUCAACAUGUCUGGAUUCUUACAAAGAAAAACCGGUUAAAGCUUGGGUUUGACCAACACCCACAUUUUAAUAAUCUGGUUACCUCUCGAGUCGAAGGCAUCCAUGCGCUUUUGAAAGGACAUUUCAAAAAGUCUACUUUAGAUCUUUUUGAGGCUUGGAAAGCUCUCAAACAUGCAAUGCUUAACCAGCUUAAAGAACUUCGUGUCAAUCUAGAUGCAAGCAUCACCAAAUGCAUAAUUAAACUGAUCAUAAAUUAAUGAGUAGUGUCUAAAGUUAGACCCGAAGCCUGGUGAUCUUACCACAAUCAGGACUAUAAAGGUCCGAACGGGUUAUCGUUGCAUUGAUAUCCGAAGAAUUGUGGUAAGCAAGUGAAAGACAAAGCUGACUAGGAUAGCUGGUUUUCUGCGAAACCUAUAAAAGUAGGCAAUUUGAUAACAUCUUAGCAGGUACAGAACUUCAUCUCAGGCAAGAUGUGUAUUAUAGGAAGAUUCCUAACACAUUUUAUUCUUGUACAGAUCGGGGAAUCGUGAAGAUUUUACCGGUGAGAUUGUAGACUCGGAAUGGCAAAGAUGAAUAUUUAAUUAUCGGACAUAGAAUGAUAAGGUUGUAUGUCAAAAGGGAAACAGCCCAGAACAAGAGUUAAGGUUCCAAAGUUAUUGUUAAGUGAAAUUAAGAAGGUUUUUAUUUAAGUCGACAAGGGGAUAGGCCUAGGAGCAGCCAUAAUUUAAAGAUCUCGUAACAGAGCACUUGUUAAGUUUUAAGAGCAUCGAAAAUUUAACGGAUCUAAAUAAUAUACCGAAACCUUGUCCAUAUUUAAAAAUAACUUAAAAAAAGAAAGCUUACUAGCUUUGUUAUUUUUAUUUAAUGGGGUAGCAGAACGUUGAGUGUAUACAAGAGCAUUCUUAUUUUAAGAAUAGUUCUAUAACUCAAGUGAGAAUGGUGACAUGAGUAACUAAAAAGAGUAUAUUAAAUACUCUCGCCUAAAGCUUAUGGCUAUAUUAUCAAGUAUCGGCCUCUAAGUUUUUAACCUCAAGGUUAUAACGAUGAGUGAAACUUAUUACUAAAUAUGACAACAUUUCUUAAGUGAGAAAUGUGCUGGAAAAAGAUUAGUAAGUACAUAUUUAUAUAAAAUAGAUAUGUAAAUAAACCGUACCUAGAAUCUGUGACAAGUAAGCUAGUAGAGAAUACGAAGGCGUAAAUGAGAUAACAAUCAUAAAGGAACUCGGCAAAUUGACUACCGUAACUUAGGGAUAAGGAGGGCUCAUUAGUCUUGAUUAAUAUCAGGUAAAAAGGAAGAAGCAUAAAAUAAUGUUGUACGACUGUUUAAUUAAAACAAAGCACUUUGCGUAAAAAUGAUAAAUCUAAGUAUAGAGUGUGAUCUCUGCCCGAUGCCGGCUGGUUAACGGAAAUAACUAAAUUGUGAAAGGUUUGGUGUAGAAGGAACCCCCGGUUAAUGGCGGCCUUAACGUGAGGGUCCUAAGGUAGCGAAAUGCCUUGGCCGUUAAAUGCGGUCUUGCAUGAAUGACGUAACGAUACAACAGCUGUCUCUAUGAUUGACUCAGUGAAAUUGGAAUAACUGUGCAGAUACAGUUUACCUCUAGGUAGACGAGAAGACCCUAUGCAGCUUUACUGUUACUAAUUAUUGAGUAUAAUAGACAAAUUUUAGAAGAUAAGGUAAUGGGUGGUUAAAUAAGCUAGGGCGCAAAACGCCCUCUAUUUCUCCCUUCAUGGAAUUGAAAUCCCUUUAUUUGGAGAUUAUACUGUAAGCGUAAGCUCUAAAUUUAUUUAGGGUUUACCAAAAACCCUGUAAGAGGGGACAUUUGCUAGGAGACAGUUUAUGCGGGGCACAGACCCCACAAAGAGUAAAUGGGAGUGUCCAACAAAUAAUUUGCAUAUUAAUUUAUGUAUUUUUAGUUUAUAACACAGACUGAGAACUUAUCUAGGAUUAACAUACUGUAGGUUUAUACCUACACUUGUUAUGAUUAGAGUGGUAACUGAGCAUACAGGCUUCAGUAAAUUUAUGUUUUUUAGGUAAGUAGACAACUAUGGUGAAGUUAGUAAUAGUAGUUAAUAAUAUUAUGAAAUAAAGUGUUAACUUCUUCUAAUAUUAUUAGAGAUAUUAUACUGCGCUUAAUCGCGUAAAGUAUAAUAAAAAAUUGUAAAACAUAUUGACAGGUUUAACGGCAAAAUCUUGCCUUACUGUUUGAUUAACAACAAAUCUUACAGUCGCGUAAGCGGGGCAUAGGAUCACGAGAUUCAAAAAGGAAAGGUCUUGGAUUAUUGGAAAAGCUACGCUAGGGAUGUUUGUCCUUCAAUGUUUAAUAAUAAUAGGACGGCGAUAUAAAAGG
RNAcentral lists this ribosomal RNA (2776 nucleotides) under Pyricularia oryzae. RNAcentral describes it as "bacterial LSU rRNA". The stretch from base 564 to 2776 matches the Rfam family "Bacterial large subunit ribosomal RNA", at positions 1 to 2528 of the family's 2925-position model. Lineage: Eukaryota; Fungi; Ascomycota; Sordariomycetes; Magnaporthales; Pyriculariaceae. The record is from RNAcentral.